GGCGACGGGUGAGUAUACAUCGGAACGUGCCCAGAGUGGGGGAUACGAGGCGAAAGCUUUGCUAAUACCGCAUACGAUCUCAGGAUGAAAGCAGGGGACCGCAAGGCCCUUGUGCUCCUGGAGCGGCCGAUGGCAAAUUAGGUAGUUGGUGGGAUAAAAGCUUACCAAGCCGACGAUCUGUACUGGUCUGAGAGGACGACCAGCCACACUGGGACUGAGACACGGCCAAANUCCUACGGGAGGCACAGUGGGGAAUUUUGGGACAAUGGGCGCAAGCCUGAUCCAGCAAUGCCGCGUUGCAGGAUGAAGGCCUUCGGGUUGUAAACUGCUUUUGUACGGAACGAAAAGGCUCUGGUUAAUACCUGGGGCUCAUGACGGUACCGUAAGAAUAAGCACCGGCUAACUACGUGCCAGCAGCCGCGGUAAUACGUAGGUGCGAGCGUUAAUCGGAAUUACUGGGCGUAAAAGCGUGCGCAGGCGGUUAUGUAAAACAGGAGGGUGAAAUCCCCGGGCUCAACCUGGGAACUGCCUUUGUGACUGCAUAGCUAGAGUACGGGCAGAGGGGGAUGGAAUUCCCGCGUUGGUAACAGUGAAAUUGCC
This 600-nucleotide ribosomal RNA is filed under the name uncultured bacterium. Its description in RNAcentral is "bacterial SSU rRNA". It matches the Rfam family "Bacterial small subunit ribosomal RNA", at positions 97 to 690 of the family's 1533-position model. The record is from RNAcentral.